This 479-nucleotide unclassified non-coding RNA is filed under the name Hevea brasiliensis (rubber tree). Lineage: Eukaryota; Viridiplantae; Streptophyta; Magnoliopsida; Malpighiales; Euphorbiaceae. The record is from RNAcentral.
UUUUUUUUUUUUUUUAAAUUGCCGCCCCACAAUCUUUUUGUCAUCAUUGUUAAUGGUGAAACCUAAUUUUUAGUGUUUCUCCUCAUGGCAUGAAAAUGUUUUAUAUGGGAUUCCAUUUAUAUAAUGCCCGCACCAAAUCUUUUGAUCUGACACUAAGUUAGACAGGAGUAGGAUCUUUCUGAAUAUAAAAGAUGGAUGUCUGGUUAUCUCUGAUUAAUUCAUCUUAGGUUCAUAUUCAACUUAUAGGUAGCUAGGAUGAAAUUGGGUCCCAUGGUUGAAAGAGAUGAGGUGUUGGGUUCAGCUCAUGUAGUAAAGAUGAGGGGUAUGUUGGGGGUUAUGGGCUUUAGCAUGAACACACUCGUGCAAUUCUGAGUUUUAUGUAUAAUGUACCAGAUUUCUCAGUUUCCUCGAACUUAUGGUGUUACUUUUAUCAGGUUCAAAGUGUGGAGGAAUUGGAAGAAGUUCUUUCUCAGGGAGCG